Molecule: ribosomal RNA, 372 nt
Filed under: uncultured organism
Description: partial 16S ribosomal RNA
Rfam family: Bacterial small subunit ribosomal RNA
Source: RNAcentral
GGAGGGGCGAGCGUUAUUCGGAAUCAUUGGGCGUAAAGGGCAGGUAGGCGGCUUUGUAUGUCCAAUGUGAAAGCCCUCGGCUCAACCGAGGAAUUGCAUUGGAAACUGCAGGGCUUGAGUCCGGGAGAGGGAAGCGGAAUUCCCAGUGUAGCGGUGAAAUGCGUAGAUAUUGGGAGGAACACCAGUGGCGAAGGCGGCUUCCUGGACCGGUACUGACGCUGAUCUGCGAAAGCCAGGGGAGCAAACGGGAUUAGAUACCCCGGGUAGUCCUGGCUGUAAACGAUGAGCACUUGGUGUGGCGGGUAUCGACCCCCUGCUGUGCCGACGCUAACGCAUUAAGUGCUCCGCCUGGGGGAUACGGUCGCAAGGCUG